ACAUGGUCCAUGGCGAAACAAAUUGUUGCUAUUGUAUACUUAUUUUUCUGUGAUUCCGAAUACUGAAUUGAACUUCGUUUGUAAAGUCAGUCCGUCAUUCCAACAAGUUGAGACUUAGUGCUCACUGCUCAGUCACUUUCCAUCCGUUAGAUCCUUAUGAUGUCAAAAGCCUGAAACUCAUAUUUGAAGCUCACAUACAGUGGAAUUAGGCGAAAGUUCUUGCACAUGGACCUUAGGAUCUUUAUUGAAUCUUGCAAGUGUAACCUGUGUCAGAAUGUUUGUUGAGUGUCCGACUUUUCUACAGCCAUUCAGAAGGCAACCCAGCUGAAAGAUAGCCAGAUAGAGUUCCAGUUUCAGUGAAUGUACAUGAAGAGUGUGAAGUGUAUUUAGUACAUUUACCAGAUCUGCUUGAUGAAAGUCAAAUGCCUUACUGAAUUCGUCACCCAAAUGAUAAAGUACUAUUUGUGACGUCCCCUGAGAUCGUGAGCCGGCCGCCAGUUUCAAUCUACAACGCAGUUUCUUCAUGGAAUCGUGAGUCCUGAGCCAACGCUGGUUUUUGUCCAUGACAGAAGAAGGACUUCUACCAACGUUCGGGUCCUUAUCUUCACCACGUACGCUGCUUCUUGUGCUUCAUUGGCGAAUUAAAUCACUUCAGUGUUCGCUUCCGCCCGCUGUGACACACCUGUCAUCAUUCACCACGGGAUUAUGCCCAG
Molecule: long non-coding RNA, 713 nt
Organism: Daphnia pulex (common water flea)
Lineage: Eukaryota; Metazoa; Arthropoda; Branchiopoda; Diplostraca; Daphniidae
Exons: 4
Source: RefSeq, a predicted model, not a curated record